CGGACGGGUGAGUAACGCGUGAAUGACAUGCCCUUGAGUGGGGGAUAGCCCAGGGAAACUUGGAUUAAUACCCCAUGGUAUCGCGAGAUUAAAGGCGGCGCAAGCUGUCGCUCAAGGAUUGGUUCGCGGCCUAUCAGCUAGUUGGCGGGGUAACGGCCCACCAAGGCGACGACGGGUACCUGGUCUGAGAGGACGAUCAGGCACACUGGAACUGAGACACGGUCCAGACACCUACGGGUGGCAGCAGUCGAGAAUAAUUCACAAUGGGGGCAACCCUGAUGGUGCAACGCCGCGUGGAGGAUGAAGGUCCUCGGAUUGUAAACUCCUGUCAUCCGGGAGUAAGACCUGGGAGUGAAUAGCUCACAGGGUUGAUAGUACCGGAAGAGGAAGGGACGGCUAACUUCGUGCCAGCAGCCGCGGUAAUACGAAGGUCCCGAGCGUUGUUCGGAAUCACUGGGCGUAAAGGGAGCGUAGGCGGCGUGGCAAGUCAGACGUGAAAUCCCGGGGCUCAACCCCGGAACUGCGUCCGAUACUGCCAUGCUUAGAGGGUUGGAGAGGUAGCUGGAAUUCUUGGUGUAGCAGUGAAGUGCGUGGAUAUCAAGAGGAACACUCGUGGCGAAAGCGAGCUACUGGACAACACCUGACGCUGAGGCUCGAAGGCCAGGGGAGCGAAAGGGAUUAGAUACCCCUGUAGUC
This 696-nucleotide ribosomal RNA is filed under the name uncultured Verrucomicrobiota bacterium. RNAcentral describes it as "bacterial SSU rRNA". It matches the Rfam family "Bacterial small subunit ribosomal RNA", at positions 99 to 795 of the family's 1533-position model. The record is from RNAcentral. Lineage: Bacteria; Pseudomonadati; Verrucomicrobiota.